This 819-nucleotide long non-coding RNA is filed under the name Sorghum bicolor (sorghum). RNAcentral describes it as "long non-coding RNA (SBIC_LNC013520)". Lineage: Eukaryota; Viridiplantae; Streptophyta; Magnoliopsida; Poales; Poaceae. The record is from RNAcentral.
AAUAUUCGAUGUGAUGAGAAAUCUAAAAAAUUUUGCAAAAUUUUUUGAAACUAAACAAGGCCCAACAGCCGUACUACUACCCGUGCGUCGCCGGCAGCGGCGCGUGCGACGAGACGCGACGGCCGACAGGCACAGUGCGGCGGGGCGGCGCCAUUAAUAAAUGCUCGCUUGCUUGUCCUGCACCGCCCUCCUUGUGCCGCUGUGACUGUGAGCGUGACCCCAUUGGCUCUCUCUGCUCUCUGACACGACGGCUCACUACCGCCUGCGGCUGCGAGGGUGGGCCGGGCAGCUGGUCGGCGAUCGACCGCAGAGGGACCACCCCGGCCGGCUUGCACGCCACUCGAGGAGAAGCCACCGCUCUCUCCGCCUGCUGUGCCUGCCUGCCUUCCUCUCCUGGACGACGGUGGACUCGUGGUCGCGGAUGCACUCGCCGUGAACGAAGGCCCGUGAGUUCACACUCAAAUUCUAAAAAAAAAAAAAUUAAGAUUCUCUAUCCGUGACCAAGCUACAACAAAUUUAAAAAUUACACUUAAUUUAUAGGUGUACAGAUGUUUUCAUAUAGUACAUAUAUGAUAAAAUUUUGAAUCUAAUCACUAUUUUUAUAUUUUUUUGGAUGCAUUGGCACUCUAUAAUAACAACGUAGCUUCGCCUCUGUUUUCUAUCACAUCAAAUUUUUAAACGUAUGCAUUAAAUAUUAAAUAUAUAUGUAUAUAAAGAUAACUAAUUACACAUUUUGUGUGUAAGACGAAUAUUUUGAGCAUAGUUAGUCUAUAAUUGAAUAAUAAUUAUCAAAUACAAACGAAAGUACUACAAUAGCCA